GGCGAGGUCCAUUGAGUCUCGGCCUUCAAAGGCUUCAUAACGCAUGCUUUACUAAUGAAAUGAAAUGAAACUUUUCUCAUUACCUCAUCUAUUCUUUCUUUGAGUCGUUGUUUACUGAGCUUAUUUUGUCUUUCAUCCUGUCGGACGUUGACGUUGUUUGAAGAUUCUUGAUCGUCGCUGUAUUAAUUCGCCCUUAGGGAC
This 201-nucleotide long non-coding RNA is filed under the name Elaeis guineensis (African oil palm). Its description in RNAcentral is "long non-coding RNA (EGUI_LNC055628)". The record is from RNAcentral. Lineage: Eukaryota; Viridiplantae; Streptophyta; Magnoliopsida; Arecales; Arecaceae.